Long non-coding RNA from Cyprinus carpio (common carp), 291 nucleotides. RefSeq lists it as uncharacterized. The record is from RefSeq and is a predicted model, not a curated record. NCBI's taxonomy places the organism in Eukaryota, Metazoa, Chordata, Actinopteri, Cypriniformes, Cyprinidae. The transcript has 3 exons.
UUUGGGGUCAUGGAACAACAACAGAUGAGCUUAGGACGUCAUUGUUGGAGUAUCCAGCAGAAAACAUGGCUCCAUAUCUACAACAAAAUUCAACUUAUAAGAUCAAUGUCUACACUUUCAACAAAACAUUAGUGUUUAAGGACAGAAUCAAAAAGAUUGAUGCUCUAGACUUCUUGCCAUUUUAAAGGGACAGUCAAUCUGAAGGAUCCAGAACAUAUUUUCUGUUUGCUGGAGGAUUAUGGAUCUGAUCCUAAUGACAUCCCAGAAGAGCCUUUCCAUAUAUUCUUUGGG